UAGAAGGCAGCAGUGGGGAAUAUUGCACAAUGGGCGAAAGCCUGAUGCAGCUAUGCCGCGUGUAUGAAGAAGGCCUUAGGGUUGUAAAGUACUUUCAUCGGGGAGGAAAAAACAAAACUAAUAAUUUUAUUUCUUGACGUUACCCGAAAAAGAAGCACCGGCUAACUCCGUGCCAGCAGCCGCGGUAAUACGGAGGGUGCUAGCGUUAAUCAGAAUUACUGGGCGUAAAGAGCACGUAGGUGGUUUUUUUAAGUUCAGAUGUGAAAUCCCUGGGCUUAACCUAGGAACUGCAUUUUGAAACUGAAAUACUAGAGUAUCGUAGAGGGAGGUAGAAUUCUAGGUGUAGCGGUGAAAUGCGUAGAUAUCUGGAGGAAUACCUGUGGCGAAAGCGGCCUCCUAAACGAAUACUGACACUGAGGUGCGAAAGCGUGGGGAGCAAACAGGGAUUAGAUACC
This 455-nucleotide ribosomal RNA is filed under the name uncultured bacterium. RNAcentral describes it as "bacterial SSU rRNA". It matches the Rfam family "Bacterial small subunit ribosomal RNA", at positions 342 to 786 of the family's 1533-position model. The record is from RNAcentral.